CGCGUAGGCGGAUCGGUAAGUCAGACGUGAAAUCCCGGGGCUCAACUCCGGGUCUGCGUUUGAAACUGUCGAUCUAGAGUGCAGGAGAGGAAGGCGGAAUUCCAGGUGUAGCGGUGGAAUGCGUAGAUAUCUGGAAGAACACCAGUGGCGAAGGCGGCCUUCUGGACUGACACUGACGCUGAGGCGCGAAAGCUAGGGGAGCAAACAGGAUUAGAUACCCUGGUAGUCCUAGCCGUAAACGAUGGGUACUAGGUGCUGGGCACUUCGACGUGUUCAGCGCCGCAGCUAACGCAUUAAGUACCCCGCCUGGGGAGUACGGCCGCAAGGCUGAA
RNAcentral lists this ribosomal RNA (332 nucleotides) under uncultured Pseudomonadota bacterium. RNAcentral's name for it is "bacterial SSU rRNA". It matches the Rfam family "Bacterial small subunit ribosomal RNA", at positions 568 to 898 of the family's 1533-position model. Lineage: Bacteria; Pseudomonadati; Pseudomonadota. The record is from RNAcentral.